RNAcentral lists this transfer RNA (69 nucleotides) under Ictidomys tridecemlineatus (thirteen-lined ground squirrel). Its description in RNAcentral is "Spermophilus tridecemlineatus (thirteen-lined ground squirrel) tRNA". It matches the Rfam family "tRNA". From Rfam's summary of the family: Transfer RNA (tRNA) molecules are approximately 80 nucleotides in length. Their secondary structure includes four short double-helical elements and three loops (D, anti-codon, and T loops). The record is from Rfam by way of RNAcentral. Lineage: Eukaryota; Metazoa; Chordata; Mammalia; Rodentia; Sciuridae.
GGAGUUGUAGCUCAGUAGUAGAGUUCUUGCCUUGAACGCGUGAGGCCCUGGGUUCAAUCCUCAGCACCA